RNAcentral lists this ribosomal RNA (301 nucleotides) under uncultured bacterium. RNAcentral's name for it is "partial 16S ribosomal RNA". It matches the Rfam family "Bacterial small subunit ribosomal RNA", at positions 509 to 807 of the family's 1533-position model. The record is from RNAcentral.
CAGUCGCCGCGGUAAAACGGAGGGUGCAAGCGUUAUCCGGAUUCACUGGGUUUAAAGGGUGCGUAGGCGGAUCUGUAAGUCAGUGGUGAAAUCUCCAGGCUUAACCUGGAAACUGCCGUUGAUACUAUAGGUCUUGAAUUUUGUGGAGGUUAGCGGAAUAUGUCAUGUAGCGGUGAAAUGCAUAGAUAUGACAUAGAACACCAAUUGCGAAGGCAGCUGGCUACACAACUAUUGACGCUGAGGCACGAAAGCGUGGGGAUCAAACAGGAUUAGAUACCCCCGUAGUCCCUGUCUCUUAUAC